This 254-nucleotide ribosomal RNA is filed under the name uncultured bacterium. Its description in RNAcentral is "partial 16S ribosomal RNA". It matches the Rfam family "Bacterial small subunit ribosomal RNA", at positions 524 to 776 of the family's 1533-position model. The record is from RNAcentral.
UACGGGGGGUGCGAGCGUUGUCCGGAAUCACUGGGCGUAAAGGGCGCGUAGGUGGUCUGAUAAGGGUGUGGUGAAAGUCCGGGGCUCAACCCCGGAUCUGCCGUGCCGACUGUCAGACUCGAGGACUGUAGAGGCAGGCGGAAUUCCGGGGUGUAGCGGUGGAAUGCGUAGAGAUCCGGAGGAAGACCGGUGGCGAAGGCGGCCUGCUGGGCAGUUUCUGACACUGAGGCGCGACAGCGUGGGGAGCAAACAGG